Molecule: ribosomal RNA, 490 nt
Filed under: uncultured bacterium
Lineage: Bacteria
Description: partial 16S ribosomal RNA
Rfam family: Bacterial small subunit ribosomal RNA
Source: RNAcentral
AUUGAACGCUGGCGGCAGGCCUAACACAUGCAAGUCGAACGGUAACAGGCAGCAGCUUGCUGCUUCGCUGACGAGUGGCGGACGGGUGAGUCAUGUCUGGGAAGCUGCCUGAUGGAGGGGGAUAACUACUGGAUACGGUAGCUACUACCGCAUAAUGUCGCAAGACCAAAGAGGGGGACCUUCGGGCCUCUUGCCAUCGGAUGUGCCCAGGUGGGAGUCGCUUGUUGGUGGGGUAACGUCUCACCAAGGCGGCGAUCCCUAGCUGGUCUGAGAGGAUGACCAGCCACACUGGAACGGAGACACGGACCAGACUCCUACGGGAGGCAGCAGUGGGGAAUAUUGCACAAUGGGCGCAAGCCUGAUGCAGCCAUGCCGCGUGUAUGAAGGAGGCCUUCGGGUUGUAAAGUACGUUCAGCGGGGAGGAAGGGAGUAAAGUUAAGACCUUGGGUCAUUGACGUUACCCGCAGAAGAAGCACCGGCUAACUCCGUG